This 609-nucleotide ribosomal RNA is filed under the name uncultured crenarchaeote. RNAcentral's name for it is "bacterial SSU rRNA". It matches the Rfam family "Archaeal small subunit ribosomal RNA", at positions 80 to 675 of the family's 1478-position model. The record is from RNAcentral. Lineage: Archaea; Thermoproteati; Thermoproteota.
CGAUUACUGCUCAGUAACACGUAGCUAACCUACCCUUAGGACGUGGACAACCCCGAGAAAUUGGGGCUAAUCCGCGAUAGAUGUAUUGUCCUGGAAUGGUAUUACGUCUAAAGGUAUCCCAUACAUGUUUGGUAUAUGCCUAAGGAUGGGGCUGCGGCCGAUCAGGCUGUUGGUGAGGUAAUGGCUCACCAAACCUUUGACCGGUACGGGCCAUGAGAGUGGUAGCCCGGAGAUGGACACUGAGACAAGGGUCCAGGCCCUACGGGGCGCAGCAGGCGCGAAACCUCCUCAAUGCACUUACGUGCGAAGGGGCUACCUCGAGUGCCAUCUGAUGAAGGUGGCUUUUCCUAGGUCUAAAAAGCCUUGGGAAUAAGAGGGGGGCAAGACUGGUGUCAGCCGCCGCGGUAACACCAGCCCCUCGAGUGGUGGGGAUGAUUAUUGGGCCUAAAGCGUCCGUAGCCUGCCGUGUAAGUCUUCCGUUAAAUCCAGCGUCUUAAGCGUUGGACCGCGGGAAAUACUGUACGGCUAGAGAGUGGGAGAGGUCAGCGGUAUUCUGGGGGUAGGGGCGAAAUCCUUUGAUCCCCGGAGGACCACCAGUGGCGAAGGCUG